Molecule: transfer RNA, 78 nt
Filed under: Candidatus Hydrogenedentota bacterium
Lineage: Bacteria; Pseudomonadati; Candidatus Hydrogenedentota
Also listed under: 1 other name
Description: tRNA-Pro
Rfam family: tRNA
About the family: Transfer RNA (tRNA) molecules are approximately 80 nucleotides in length.
Source: RNAcentral
CGGGGCGUAGCGCAGCCCGGUUAGCGCGCCUGCUUUGGGAGCAGGAGGCCGAGAGUUCAAAUCUCUCCGCCCCGACCA